Molecule: long non-coding RNA, 1657 nt
Filed under: Pan troglodytes (chimpanzee)
Lineage: Eukaryota; Metazoa; Chordata; Mammalia; Primates; Hominidae
Description: lincRNA
Source: RNAcentral
ACAGAAACCUAAGUGAUUUAGAGUGUGACUUUCAUGAACAGAAAUAGUCUCCAUAAUCUAAUCUCCAAAAUGCACUAAACCAGGAGAAGAUCCACCUGGAUAAUUUUGUUGUCAAAGGAAUGGAAGAAUAUUAAGGAGAACAAAUCCUCAUCUCUCCAAAGACCCUUCAUCCUUCAUUUCACAAUAGUCUUUAUUGGUCUGCUGGAGUUUGCUGGAGGUCCACUCCAGACCCUGUUUGCCUGCGUAUCACCGGCAGAGGCUGCAGAGCAGCAAAGAUUGCUGCCUGCUCCUUCCUCUGGAAGCUUCAUCCCAAAGGGGCACCCGCCUGAUGCCAGCCAGAGCUCUCCUGUAUGAGAGAUGCCCUGCCCAGUGAGGAGGAAUCUAGAGAAGCAGUCUGGCCAUAGCUUUGCUGCACUGCGCACUUCUCCUUGCUGCCGCCAUGUGAAGAAGAAUGUGUUUGCUUCCCCUUCCGCCAUGAUUGUCAUGACAUUUUGAGCACAAUUGUGUGUGGGAUGCAUUCAUCAAUAGAGCUGGAAGCACCAACCACCAUAGGAGUAGAGACAGGGUUUUACCACAUUGGCUAGGCUGGUCUUGAACUCCUGACCUCAAGUGAUCCACCCCCCUCAGCAUCCCAAAGUGCUGGGAUUACAGAGGAAACUUUUAGUUACAAGCACAUGAAUAAAUAAAUCAAACUCAACUGGAAUGACGUUCCUGAGGAUGGAGAUACAUUUUUUUGUUGACCCAUCUAAACUUGAACAGCAAGUGAUAAUUAGUCUCCAAUCAGAAAGUCCCAGGACUUAUAGGAGCAGAAAUCAGAAGACUUUACUCCACAAACUUCAGGUGGACAUGUGGACAAAGCCAUCUGAGAACGUGACAAAAAUACAGCAAGAGCAGAGACAAGAUCAGAUCAUCCUGGGGGCAGAUGCUGGGCUCUGACCAAUUUGAGAGAGAAAAGGAAAAAGAACCCAGCUACAAGAUGCACAAGUAGCAGGCCACAGCCACCAACAUCAGCAGAGCAAUUGGAGGCCAGGAAGACAAGGACACUUCUGAAGAGACUGAAAAAAGCAGAAGACAGUCCAAGUCACUGCAAGGUUCCAAGGUCUCUUUUUUCAUUACUGUACCAAGUAAGCCAAAAUCCACCCUACUCUUCAAAACCAUCUUGAAGAGUUGCAGGUCAGGGUUGCUGCAUCUGAGCAUGUUUACUCACAAAAGGUGACAGAUGCUCCUCAACUUACAAUGAGAUUACAUCCUGAUAAAUGUGUCAUAAGUUGAAAAUAUGUUACAAGUCGAAAAUGCAUUUACUACAGCCUAACCCACUGAACAUUGUAACUUAGGCUAGCCUACCUUAAAACGUGAUCAGGACACUUCCCUCAGCCUACAUUUGGGCAAAAUCACCUAACACGAAGCCUAUUUUAUAAUAGAGCAUUGAAUAGCUCAAAUAAUUUAUUCAAUACUGUACAUUACAUAGAAUUUGUGACAGUUUUACACCAUCAUUAUGUCAAAAAAUCAUUAAGUUGAGCCACCGUAACUCAGGGACUGUCUGUAUUUAUAUUUUUACUUCACACUAAGCUUUGAAACUGAAAUUUUUGCUCCUCAGCAGAUGGGGUUUCUGAGAAAGACCAAAUUAGUUAUAGAGCACUAGCUCCCAAAAAAAAAA